CCUACGGGUGGCAGCAGUCGGGAAUAUUGCGCAAUGGAGGAAACUCUGACGCAGUGACGCCGCGUGCAGGAAGAAGGCUUUCGGAUUGUAAACUUCUUUAGACAGGGAAGAAAAAAGACAGUACCUGUACAAUAAGCUCCGGCUAACUACGUGCCAGCAGCCGCGGUAAUACGUAGGGAGGACGCGUUAUCCGGAUUUAUUGGGUGUAAAGGGUGCGUAGACGGAGAAGCAAGUUAGUUGUGAAAUCCCUCGGCUUAACUGAGGAACUGCAACUAACACUACUGGCCUUGAGUGCAGGAGAGGAAAGGGGAAUUCCUGGUGUAGCGGUGAAAUGCGUAGAGAUUAGGAGGAACACCAGUGGAGAAGGCGACUUUCUGGACAGUAACUGACGUUGAGGCACGAAAGUGUGGGGAGCAAACAGGAUUAGAUACCCCAGUAGUC
This 441-nucleotide ribosomal RNA is filed under the name uncultured bacterium. Its description in RNAcentral is "partial 16S ribosomal RNA". It matches the Rfam family "Bacterial small subunit ribosomal RNA", at positions 338 to 795 of the family's 1533-position model. The record is from RNAcentral.